AAAUAGGAGUUUCACCCAUUUUCCCUUUUUAAGUCCCUUAGACUUCCUCAGUAAAAACAAACAAAAGAAAAAGAGACCCCUAGCCUUGAUGCUAACACACAGCACACAACUCACAACACACUCACACGGACACACACUCACGCACACAAACACACAUAUAAAACAACACACACAUCUCACAAAACGCAACAGUUGCUGCUCAAGAAAAAAAAUCUUCUUUCCUUCUUCUAAAGCCAUCAUUCUCAGGCAAUCAGGUAUGUUUAUCUAGUUUUCUCUCUUCUCCUCUCUCUCUCCCCCCAAUUUCAAUUGUUGGCAGAUUUUUUUUUUCUUUUCUUUUCAUUCUAUGGUUCAUUUGAUGUGAAGUUUGGGACACAAAUUGUGCAAUCCUAGAUCUGUUGGUUGAUUGAUAUUUAAAUAUGGUUGAUUGAACUAUAAUUUCCAUGUUUUUGGGAGGGUAAUUGAACCUUUUUAUUGUGACAAAAAUCAUGGUGAAAGUGAUGCGCACAACCUGCUCAACAAAUUGUCUGAGAGAAAAAUUAGUUCGCCGGUGAAGUCUGAGUAACCGAGCGCUGUCAGAGGCCAAUUGUAAGUAAGUUUUUGGUAGUCAAAUAGGUUGUGGACUGCUUAGUCAGAUCGUUCAAGCUAAAACUCAUCAAGAUUGACAUAGGCAUUCUUUUGGCGUGAAGCGAGCUAACUUGCCUUUUCAUGUGAUUAGUUCACUCGAUGAAGUUUGAGUAAUCGAGCGAUAUGAGGCCAUGUUUAGAGUUUAUCUGAAGCAAUUCAUGGAAGAGCUGAACAAUGAGGAUAUGCCAUAGCUAGCCAUUGCCGACUACACAAACUGCUCGUCUUGCUCCAUGAUGCCAUCUUUUCAGGGAGACCUCUACUUUGCUUUAAUUAUAUAGUUACAUUGAGGACAAUGCAACAUCUUAAGUUGGGGGGUUUAUAUGAUUGAGAAGUGAUCAUGAAGAAAUCAAGUGAAAAAAACAAGUCAAAAAGAGGUCAAAGUGAAGAAAAUCACAAAAAUGGCUAAAACUGCAAAAACUGGACAGUUUUCAAAAUCUGAAAAUAUGGGGCUGUUUUGGUCAUAUUUUGAUGUGGAAAUAUUGGGGAGCUAUAAAAGCAACACUUGAAGGAAAAAAUCAUCAUCUUUGGCCAUUCAACACAAGUUUUGGAGACUAGGGUUCUUACACCACACUUUGGGGUUGAAGAUUUGAAGAUUUGGUUGAGCACUUUCUUAAAACUUUACUUCAUUUCUUUGAUUCCUUGCUUUGUAAUGAAUAUCUAAGUGUGUAUAUUUAUUUUCUUUACUUGAAUCUUGUUUAUGAAAAUAUUCUAUAAUUAAAGUAUUGGAUGAAAAUCUUGUUUUGCUUAUG
Molecule: long non-coding RNA, 1373 nt
Organism: Lycium ferocissimum
Lineage: Eukaryota; Viridiplantae; Streptophyta; Magnoliopsida; Solanales; Solanaceae
Exons: 2
Source: RefSeq, a predicted model, not a curated record